UACAGAGGGUGCAAGCGUUAAUCGGAAUUACUGGGCGUAAAGCGCACGUAGGUGGGUGCUUAAGUCGAAUGUGAAAUCUCUGGGCUUAACCUGGAAACUGCAUGCGAUACUGGGCACCUAGAGUUUGGUAGAGGGAAGUGGAAUUUCCGGAGUAGCGGUGAAAUGCGUAGAUAUCGGAAGGAACACCAGUGGCGAAGGCGACUUCCUGGGCCAAUACUGACGCUGAGGUGCGAAAGCGUGGGGAGCAAACAGG
RNAcentral lists this ribosomal RNA (253 nucleotides) under uncultured bacterium. Its description in RNAcentral is "partial 16S ribosomal RNA". It matches the Rfam family "Bacterial small subunit ribosomal RNA", at positions 524 to 776 of the family's 1533-position model. The record is from RNAcentral.